UACGUAGGGCGCAAGCGUUGUCCGGAAUUAUUGGGCGUAAAGAGCUUGUAGGCGGUUUGUCGCGUCUGCCGUGAAAAUCCGGGGCUCAACCCCGGACUUGCGGUGGGUACGGGCAGACUAGAGUGUUGCAGGGGAGACUGGAAUUCCUGGUGUAGCGGUGAAAUGCGCAGAUAUCAGGAGGAACACCGGUGGCGAAGGCGGGUCUCUGGGCAACAACUGACGCUGAGGAGCGAAAGCGUGGGGAGCGAACAGG
This 253-nucleotide ribosomal RNA is filed under the name uncultured bacterium. RNAcentral's name for it is "partial 16S ribosomal RNA". It matches the Rfam family "Bacterial small subunit ribosomal RNA", at positions 524 to 776 of the family's 1533-position model. The record is from RNAcentral.